UAUAAUUUUUGCCUAACAAGUUGCAUACUUACUAAUUGAGUUUCAAAUUUAUUAUUUCUCCCAACAUUUUUGGCAAUUUUCUGUCAUUUUUCUGUGUAUCUCUCAGUAUAUCUAAAAACGAUUUCAGGCUCGUUUCAUCUUUUAGUACAGCCGCUUCGUGGACAGCCUCGUAUAGCCAAGGCACGACUCUCGCACAGCAGCCAUGACGCUUGCGCCUUGCCGCCGCCGACGAGGCAACUUCAAUAGCUGAAUAUAAAUUCGAACUAUUUUAGCAGCGAGCGACCAAACCGAACCAUAUAAGAGUUGUGCACAGGCUAUUCGAAGAGCUCAGCAGAGCUGCUGUAGCAGAGAGGCAGCAACAUGUCUGAAGACUGACUUUUCGGUUAUGAAAGUAAAAGUGGAAAAGUGGAAAAGUAUCCCGUCCGUUCGUCUAGCUGGCAACGUUAGCCGAAAACAUGGCAAAAACUUCAUCGAAAAUGCAGGCGAGGCCGCCAACAACAACAACAAGUUUAGCACAAAAGAUUCUAAAAGUUUUCCAUACUAGCGAAAGUGAAGUCAAUUUGGGUGCCUUAAGCAAACAAUAGAAAUGCACACAAACAUAUAUUGAAAGAUUGAUUAUGGAUUGGACCUAUCCUUGAUUGAAGCCUGGGACAUCGCUGAGAAUCUGUAUCAUUUGAAAGAUACAAAUAUAUCUCAUGAAACGCUAAUUAAAUUCAGUUCUUUGGCAAGCUGCAAAACCAAAGGAAAUGUUCUGGUAGAUGAAUAAUUUGUAUGAUUUAAAGAGUUGAUUGUGAGAAAUGCAUGUUGCAAUUUUUGUCCAUAAA
This is a long non-coding RNA of Drosophila montana, 824 nucleotides long. RefSeq lists it as uncharacterized. The transcript has 2 exons. Lineage: Eukaryota; Metazoa; Arthropoda; Insecta; Diptera; Drosophilidae. The record is from RefSeq and is a predicted model, not a curated record.